UCCAGAAAAUGCUCUGCUUCCACAGC
This 26-nucleotide non-coding RNA is filed under the name Homo sapiens (human). The record is from RNAcentral. Lineage: Eukaryota; Metazoa; Chordata; Mammalia; Primates; Hominidae.